AUUGAACGCUGGCGGCAGGCCUAACACAUGCAAGUCGAACGAGUGGCGGACGGGUGAGUAAUGUCUGGGAAACUGCCCGAUGGAGGGGGAUAACUACUGGAAACGGUAGCUAAUACCGCAUACCAUCGGAUGUGCCCAGAUGGGAUUAGCUUGUAGGUGAGGUAACGGCUCACCUAGGCGACGAUCCCUAGCUGGUCUGAGAGGAUGACCAGCGACCCGGGAACGGAGACACGUGCCAGACGACUACGGGAGGCAGCAGUGGUGAAUAUUGAAAAAUGGGCGCAAGCCUGAUGCAGCCAUGCCGCGUGUAUGAAGAAGGCCUUCGGGUUGUAAAGUAAUUUCAGCGGGGAGGCGUGACCCGCAGAAGAAGCACCGGCUAACGCCGUGCCAGAAGCCGCGUUAAUAC
This 406-nucleotide ribosomal RNA is filed under the name uncultured bacterium. RNAcentral's name for it is "partial 16S ribosomal RNA". It matches the Rfam family "Bacterial small subunit ribosomal RNA", at positions 29 to 526 of the family's 1533-position model. The record is from RNAcentral.